This 460-nucleotide ribosomal RNA is filed under the name uncultured bacterium. Its description in RNAcentral is "partial 16S ribosomal RNA". It matches the Rfam family "Bacterial small subunit ribosomal RNA", at positions 338 to 795 of the family's 1533-position model. The record is from RNAcentral.
CCUACGGGUGGCAGCAGUGAGGAAUAUUGGUCAAUGGGCGGAAGCCUGAACCAGCCAAGUCGCGUGAGGGAGUAAGGCCCUACGGGUCGUAAACCUCUUUUGCCGGGGAGCAGUGCCCAGCUCGUGAGCUGGGAGGGAGCGUACCCGGAGAAAAAGCAUCGGCUAACUCCGUGCCAGCAGCCGCGGUAAUACGGAGGAUGCGAGCGUUAUCCGGAUUUGUUGGGUUUAAAGGGUGCGCAGGCGGCCUGUUAAGUCAGCGGGAAAAGCCCGGGGCUCAACCCCGGCGAGCCGUUGAAACUGGCGGGCUGGAGUUGGAGAGAAGUACGCGGAAUGCGCGGUGUAGCGGUGAAAUGCUUAGAUAUCGCGCAGAACCCCGAUUGCGAAGGCAGCGUACCGGCUCCACACUGACGCUGAGGCACGAAAGCGUGGGUAUCGAACAGGAUUAGAUACCCUUGUAGUC